GUGGAGGUGAGGGUAUCUCACUGGAGAUCCCUGCCUAUCUGAGGCCUUCUGAAGGGCACGUCAAGGGAAAACUGACAUGUCACUGAAGACCCAGAAAGAAAGAAUGCCAGAGAAGAGGUAAAUCAUAGAAAAGCCUAAGCAUCACCUCUGCUCAGAUGGAAGAAGAAAAAAAGAAAAAAAAGCCAGACCCAAACCUUGCCCACCUGGGCAUCCUGCGUGGGAUGGAAUCCAGCCCUGCACUGCCCAGCAAUGGGUCUCCUCCCUGCUUUGUGCAAAGGAAGAUUAAGCAGAAGGGAUAAGAAAAGACAGGGGAAAAAAAUGCAUUUCUUUGCAGUAAACACAGCCUGCAGCCAUCGGUUUCUCUCAGCAUUGGAUGGCAAUUAUUUCUGUGUAAUAAGCAGUCACCCGAUGACCCUCCCCUUCAGCUUGCAACGCUUCUGCUGUCAAGUGUUAAUCCCUUUGUUAGCUACUCAGCUGCACAUUCAUUUAGGAGGACUAAUGACUUACACUGUUCCUUCUCUGCACGAUUUCAGCAGACGUGUAAUUAGAGGUGAAUGGCAGCUUCAGAGGUAUGGCUACCACUGGGGCCGGGGGCAAAGUCAAAGUGUUUGUCUGAUUUCACCAUGGGCUGUUUCAGUGAGUGAAACCAUGUGGGCGGCUGCAUAUGGGGGGGAAAGGAAGUAGGAAAGGAGAAGCCAAAAAAAAGGGAAAGGAUAAGAGUCAGUUGUUGGGCAUUUAGGGAGCUCGGAUGUGAAAAGGAACGUGUUUCCAAAUAUUUCUUUGUUGGGGUGUGAGACUGAGCUGAAUGCCAGCGAGGAGCCUGUUGGCACACAGACUGAGAAGGUACCGAAAGGGUGAAAAGCUUUGUUUCAAAGUGCUGGAGAUCCGUAGUCGUUAGCAGAGUGAGUGUGAGAGCCAGAAAGUGAUUAAAAAAAAGUAUUUUGAAGGUGAGCUGAGGAAGUGCUCGCGUGCCUCCGCAGUGCCUUACAGAAUACAGCCUCUAUUUUUUUUUCUAAGUGAAAGCCAUCGAGGUCUGCAACACCUUGAGAAACAUCCUGUGGCUCUUACACCAUGGGAAGAUGUCCUUUUGAAGUGCAAGUGAAUCCCUGCGUAUGUAUUAACAUCACAGGAUGCAGUAGAAAAGUAUAACAGGGAGCUGAGGUUCUGAUGGAUUUCAGGUAACAACAACAGAAAAAAGCCACAAAGAACCCCAAACCUCUUAGCUCUGAUUUCUAUGCAUUGACAAAGCACAGCUUCGCUGAGCUGCAGCGCUGCUCCCUGUCCUUGCAGCUGUUGGGGCUGAGCCGCAUCCCAGCAGUGUGCGGUGGCCGCUGCUUUUGGUGCUGCAGCGCAGCAUCCCCGGGGCAAUGGACUUCUGCUCUGUCCCAGCAGCAGCGCAGCAUCUCGCAGCUCCCACAGCUGCAUAUUGUCCCCUGCUUUCCCUUUCUUGUUCUUUUUCUUUUUUUUUUCUUUUUGAAAGCUUACCCUGGGUUUUGCUCAGCCCUGUCUCCUCCCAGCAGUGUGCCUGCAGCCCAGGGCUCCCUCCUCUUGUCUCUUCUGGAGUGCGCUGUCUCUUUCCUUCACCCCCCCCUUGUGCAGACGCACAUCAGUGGCUGAUACAACAACUGUGUUGAAGAACAGCCACUUCCAUUCUCUUGGUUGGUUGGGAGGUAAGCAGAGUGCUAGUUCUAUGAAUUAAGAUAACACACCUGCACCAGCGCUUUGAAUUCAGGGGCAUCAUUUCAUUAAAAAUGACGAAACAGAAUAAAUCAAUAACUAAUUAAAAAUGGCUUUAAUUCAGUCUAGGCUUAUGAUCUAAUAUCUCACACAGUUGUCUAAUACAAUUAUAAACGUAAUUUCAUGCCUAAUGAAAUAUAAAUGAAGCAAAAAAGAACAGCAGACUCCAAAGAAACUUCUCCAUCAGUUGCCUUUGUGGCCCCUCCACCCUACCUGCAUCUCUGUCCCAUCUGUUAGGAAGCGAACAGCCAUCACGAUACAGUCUUAUCACUCAUACAAAGCCUUAUUAUUUCUCUGGUCUUCCCCUGCGAAGCGCUGAAGAGGAACUCGAGCAGCCUCAGAGAUGACACACGUUGGGCUUCCAUCUCCCCAGCAAUGCAGCCGUGUCGCCACUGUUGCUGUGCAGCCGGCAGGGACAGGACAUGGUGUGGCUGACAGCCCUGGGGAUGAGGACAUCCAGUUCUGAGGGACUUGCGGUCUGCUGGUAAGCAAACACACUGUCUGGCAGUGCUCAGUGGUGUCCUUCUGAAAAACCUUGUGUGCAAUUACAUGGCUCACAGCUACACACAGGUAGAGCCGGGUGAACACCAUUUCUCAUCUAUGUAUUCCAAGAGCAUCAGUGGUGCCCAUCCUCACUGUAUGCCUCCAGCAUGGGAGGGAGAGGAUUAAUUAAAUGGACCUCAGAACGCUGCCUCUGCUUGCCACCCUUCGUAUGUCUGAACUGGAGCCCAUCAGUCAGCCUCUGUUGGUGCCGAUGGAACACCCGGGCAGCACUCGGGACAUCAGACAAACCUGUGGGAGGGGAAGACAGUUACAGUCUGAUUUUUGGAUGCUUGAGGUGAAGAAACAGGCUCUGCCCGUGCAGUCACAGAUGGGACCUUAUGAGAUAUUGGUCAUGAAGUGCCAUCAUGGAAACCUCUGCAGGAAGCUCAAGCUUCAGGAAUCCUAAGGUACUAACUGUCAUUUAUAGGUCCUGUUCCUCUCGCUGGUGAAGCUCUUUUGCUAUCAUUUGAUAUAUCGAAUACAUGGAUAGUAGUAGAACAGUAUUGUUGCCUCCUCAGUCUCAAGGCAAAACAUAACUUGGUCCUACUUAAUAUUAAUUUAAUGUUAACAAAAUCAAGAUAAGUUCAGAAGUUUCACCUUGACUGAGGUUCUCAGCUCUCAUGCUUGUGUGCAUACAAACUGCUGAGAAAAACAUUUCAGGCUUUUCCACAGCGAUGAUCAAAGAAAAAUCACAAAUGCAGUGGACUUCAAAGCAAAGGGGCAAUGGCCCAGCCUUCACUCAGUCAGUGCGCACAAAAUGGAAGGGCCCAUUACCUGUAGAUGGGAGAGGAGCAGAGCUAAGCCGCAGGUAGGUUUGUAUUUGAUAUCAUCUACUGACAGUGACGGGUCACAGCAUUGCCACAGCUGAAGGCUGUUGAGGGCCACCACAGAGCCUCCCAGCAGCAGUUCAGAUGCUGCAUGCUAUUUAUUUGCGUGCAAUUGGAAUCCACCCUACUAGUGUGCAUCGCUGACAGAUAGGAGGAAAGGAUUCACUGCAAGCACUGAGCCAGCACCGACAAGCUGGGAGGUGAAAACUCAGGAGCUUCACUGAAGGCAGCUGAAGCCUCCACUGCUGCACAUUGUGGUGCCUGCAGAGUCACAGAGAAAUAAAUCUUGGUUAAAUUUUUGAUGAGCUUUCAGCUGCUGUAAAUAAUUAACUAGGGCCUCUCUCGUUUGAACACGGGUGCAACUUUUCAUGUUUCAAACGCUUCCUGCCUCAGUCCCAGGGGAUUGCUCAAGUAAUUCAGGUCAUUCUUUCUUUUAUUUAUUUGCAGCAUCACCGGUCCAAACAAAUUUUGAACUUUCAAGCUGGGAAGGGAGAAAGCAUUUUCUUCUUGAUUUUACUCCAGGUAAAUCCCCAAGGGAGCACGUGUCUCAUUUGCAGUAGUUGAAUAAUAGAGAUUGAUGGGUUAAUCAGUUCCCAUACCAUUUAUGGAGUAAUGCUGUGCGCUCAUAGAUGAAGUCUUCAUGUUUCUCAAGUCUGCUGUUUCAAAGAUGAGAGCACAGGACAGCUUCAUACAGACAGAUGCACUAAGGAGAGCAUCCCUGUGUGUCCCCCCCAGCUAAAGCACAUUGGGCUGAUCCCGCUUUUGACAGUGCGAGUACUGAAGUCAGUCCUGCAUCACCACCAGGUAAGCAGCACAAAAAAUGAGGUCUGAAGAACAACUGAUUUGUCCCUUCAUUAGGUGUCAAAAGGAGCUUGGAUAUUGUUUUAGGUGGAAACUCAUGCAUAGAUGAAGUGGGUGUAAACUGUAUUAAAUAUUGGAUUCAAACUCCAGAUUAGGGGUUUUGAUGUCCUAUCCCAAGACUUUAAUGUCUAAAUUGAACUACUAAAAUAGCUCCUUCCUCAGGACUCCAUCCUGUCCCGCUUAGUUCUAUACCCACACACAACAGGUCACCUACCACUACUGUGGUCUGAGGCUGAUUUGGAUUUACUGCAGUGUCAUACUUUCUGUUUCAAUGCCUAUUGAGUAUGAUUUAUUACAAUGACAGACCACGCUACUGUUUGCAAUGCAGGCCGAAUUCAUUCCCACUUUUUAAUACAGUUUCUCACAUCAUCUCCAGCAUUUGAGAGAAUGUAUAUUUAUUUUAAUCACCGUGUACUGAAUAUGUAAUUUUUUUCCUAGGUAAAAUUUCCCUUUAAUAGAGGCUGGGUUAUGACAGAGCAAUUAUUUGAGUUAUGUGCACAUUACAGAAUAAUUUAACAUCAGCUUUUGGGUCAAUCUUUUUUAAUUAUCUAUUUUAUCAACUGGUUUUGACUAGCAGUUUAAAUAAUUGUGUUUGCCUAAUAUCUGGAAAUCUAAUUGCUUUUAGACAUCCUUUAUUCCAAUCCUGGUGUUGUUACCGUCUUGCAUACGGUGCAUGUUGGCACCUGUCUGUGCAGUGACAGAUUUGUGGUGACAGCUUAUAUAACUUAUUUAUAAAAUGAUGAAUUAUUUUUGAAUUUAACUUCAAGUUCACAGACUGGAAAAGUGGAGAAACACCUGCUUGCUGCAGAGGAUCUGCUAAGGAAGUCCAAAGGGAAACUAUGCACAGAGGGGAAAAGCACAGGCCAAGUGAAACAGAACCAUGUGGGUCAUCGUUAUGCUGUUCCAGGUUCUCUUUGUCCUUAGCAGACAAUCUGGGACUGCCUUGCCUUCAGAUGUCCAAAUUUUAGGCAGUUGACUUUCAGAGAGAUGAACAUUACACAAUACACGUAUUUGCUUUUGAGAGCAAAACUGUGUUUUUACCUCAACAAACGCCCUAUUUUCCUGCCAAAUUCUUCCCUCUGUGUGGGACCAACGUGCACAUGGAGCCAAGGAACGCAGGAGAAAUGGUGUCAGCGGACACAGAGGUGAAGAAUAAGGUGCCAAUCAAUAAACCAGUAAUUAGCUCUGUUUGGCAGGUUGGGGGUGUUUGGGUUUUGGUAUUUUGCUGUUGCGUUUUUUUUUUUCCUGCUGGUUUUGAAAGAAGUUUGCUUAUCUAAGUUUUAUAACCACUUAAAUGAAUCCCAGCUCUGUUCAAAUCAAUGAAAGCUUUUGCGAGACAGCUGUAAUUUUAUGUGCAUGUGUUUCAGUAAAUUAGAGGGUUUAGCCUUAAGGAUUCACUUUAGUGUAAUCUACUAAAAAGAUAAGUAGAGCCAGAUGCAGUGUCUUACAACCGCUGGACAGUCGCAACUGGAGCGACAGCACUGACAGCAACUUUAUGGCUUUCCUCAUAGGGAGCAGAUUUCCUGACUCAAAAAGAGCAGUAUUUUACAUAAAUAGUUGUCAAUAUUUUGUAUUUACGAUGCAAAGAAAGAAGGGUGCAAAUAGUGAAAAAAUGAAAUAAAAUUAGCCCAAACAACUGAUAAUGGCUUCCUUGCAUUCUGUUUGUGCACAACUGUGGAAAAAGACAAUCUGUAGUUUAAACCAUUUAACUAAAUUAAAUUCUAGUUAGCAUCUGGGAUCCCGUCAAUAAGAGUCUAUAUUUCCGAG
RNAcentral lists this long non-coding RNA (5735 nucleotides) under Gallus gallus (chicken). RNAcentral describes it as "lncRNA (ENSGALG00010022810.1)". The record is from RNAcentral. Lineage: Eukaryota; Metazoa; Chordata; Aves; Galliformes; Phasianidae.